GACGAACGUUGGCGGCGUGCUUAAUACAUGCAAGUCAACUGAAGCAGUGGUAGUAAUACUACUGUGGAGGUGGCGCACGGGUGAGUAACGCGUAGGUAAUCUGCCUUUGGGUCUGACAUAACUCCGAGAAAUCGAAGCUAAUAUCAGAUGAUGCAGCGGCUUGACAUCAAGACAGUUGUUAAAGCUUCGGCGCCCAAAGAUGAGCCUGCGUCCCANAGGUAGUUGGCGGAGUAAUAGCCCACCAAGCCACGAUGGGUAGCUGGUCUGAGAGGAUGAUCAGCCACACUGGAACUGAGACACGGUCCAGACUCCUACGGGAGGCAGCAGUAAGGAAUAUUGCUCAAUGGCCGAAAGGCUGAAGCAGCAACGCGCGUGAAGGAUGAAGGCCUUUUGUUGUAAACUUCUGUAGAGAGAAGAAAAACUACCAUUCUAUGGAGAUUGAUGGUAUCU
Molecule: ribosomal RNA, 450 nt
Filed under: uncultured bacterium
Lineage: Bacteria
Description: bacterial SSU rRNA
Rfam family: Bacterial small subunit ribosomal RNA
Source: RNAcentral